RNAcentral lists this transfer RNA (73 nucleotides) under Podarcis lilfordi (Lilford's wall lizard). Its description in RNAcentral is "tRNA.Lys". The record is from RNAcentral. Lineage: Eukaryota; Metazoa; Chordata; Lepidosauria; Squamata; Lacertidae.
GCUUGAAUUGCUCAGUUGGCAAAGCAUGAGACGCUUAAACUCAGGGCCAUGGGUUGGAGCCCCACGUUGGGCA